Non-coding RNA from Acanthosepion pharaonis, 80 nucleotides. The record is from the annotation of a GenBank genome assembly. Lineage: Eukaryota; Metazoa; Mollusca; Cephalopoda; Sepiida; Sepiidae.
CUGAAACACCGAAGUUAAGCAACGUCGAUCCUGGUCAGUACCUGGAUGGGUGACCUCCUGGGAAUACCAGGUGCUGUAAG